Triplophysa rosa is the source of this 415-nucleotide long non-coding RNA. RefSeq lists it as uncharacterized. The transcript is spliced from 3 exons. The record is from RefSeq and is a predicted model, not a curated record. NCBI's taxonomy places the organism in Eukaryota, Metazoa, Chordata, Actinopteri, Cypriniformes, Nemacheilidae.
UUUCAAAGACUAUUUGGACAUGAGGCACGCCACCCAUCAAAAGUCCCUAAACACUUUAAGGUUGCCAGUCCGGCAUUAUCAAGCCCGUCGUCUGAGGAAUCCCCAUCCAGCCCAGCGUCUGAGGUAUCCCCGUCCAGCCCAGCGUCUGAGGUAUCACCAUCUGACCCAACGUCUGAGGCAUCACAUAUGUCAGACACGUCCACCACUCCAGCUGCUGGAAAUACAUACAUCGUAACACCAACAGCCACCCAUGAUCCAGCUGAAUUUCCAAUUUGCUUGAAAGCAAUAGAUUCAGAAAUCAUUAACAGACAUAUCGAUGAGGCCUGGGCUGGAAAAAAAGUCCAGGUGUUACUAUCGAAGAUUGGACCAUACAAAAUAUUUUAUUUUGACAUUUAUAACAUUUCAUCACAAAAAC